CCUCGCGCGCGCUCCCUUCUCUCGCCUCCCUCCGCCCUAUCGGAAAGGCGGGGAGAGCCGGUUUCGGCUCUGCUGGUUCCUCCCGGAGGUGGGUGUUUGGUGUCUGGCCUUGCUGGCCCGGCGUCCAAAAGGAAGUGCACGGCUGUCUAUAACGUGCUCCCGGGUCUCAGGAUGGAGGAGUGAAGUCUCCUGUCGCCGUGGUUCCAGCCUCCGGAGCUCGCCCAAGCCGCGUCCCCAGAGAGCGCCCUGAGAGAACAGGGUGGCCGCUUGGUCCAGUUCUGGAGGCUGGGAAGUCCAAUAUCAAAGUGCCUGCAGCGAGGACCUUCGUGCUGCAUCAUCCCAUGGCAGGAGACAGAAGCGCAAGACAGCAGGAGAGCCAGGGCAAGAGAAAGAGGGCUAACCUCAUCCUUUUAUCAGGAGCCCACUCCUGCAACAACAGCAUUCAACUGUUCAUGAGGGCAGAGCUCCCAUGACCCAAUCACAUCUUAAAGUUUCCACCUCUCAACAAUGUUGCAUUGAGGAUUAAGUUUCCAAUACAUAAACUUUGGGGUACACAUUCAAACCACAGCAGUCCUCAAUAAGGAAUGUUGACUGUUUUCGUUGGGCACGGAAUAAGGAAUUUGCUUCUGGGCUGACCAAUAUUUUGUAUCUCUUUUUUGUUAACUUGAAACUUAGACUGGUCAUUGGGACUAAAAGUGUUCUACCUUUUUAGUCUAUUAAAAAAGAUGAAAAUUCAUAUCUGUGACCACAGAUAUUAAUAGUUGGUCAUUUGCUUUCUUCAAAGAAUUCAUUUGAAAUAUAUUUAUAUUCAUAGUUUUAAAAUAUAUGAUCCAUAAAAGCCCAAGUUUACAGAACAGAUGACUAAGGGUAUGAUUUUCAAAACGAAAAUAAUCUUUUCUUCUAUUCAUCAGGGUUAGCUCCUCUAGAACUUAGAAAAAAAAUGGUUAUAUACAAUGUUUAGGAAAUGAAACCAUUGGUUACAGCAAAGCAUACUUGCAGCACUUUCAGAAUGAGCACUUUAGACAGAAUGCUCAUUUUAAAAGUACUGUACAGCCAGGUGUAGUGACUCACGCCUGUAAUCCUAAUGCUUUGGGAGGCCGAGGCAGAUGAGUCAUUUGAGCCCAGGAGUUUGAGACCAAUCUGGGCAACAUGGUGAAACCCCAUCUCUACAAAAAAUAAUUUAAGAAACACUAGCUGAGCGCAGUGGUGUGCGCCUGUUGUCCCAGCUACUCAGGAGGCUGAGGUUGGAGGGUUACUUGAGCCCAGGAGGUUGAGGCUGCAAUGAGCCAAGAUUGCACCACUGCAUUCUAGCCUGGGUAACAAAGAGAGACACUAUAAGUAAGUCUAUGGCAUUUUCUGAUGGCAGCCUGGGCCUACUAAUACAGAAGACAUACUGAAGUUUAUCUGAAGUUGCAAAGGCAAGCUGGAAUGCUGUGAUACUGGAGCACAGUAAAUGAGGACAGAAUUGAAGGACUUGGGGUCAGAGAUAUAAAGUGGAAGGAUGAAAGAAAGUGCUUAAUCACCAGCUCUUUGUCAUUGGAACUGAGAAGCUGCAGAAUAUAGUGGCUGCUGGAACUGCCUCCUCAAAGGCAUGUUACCUAACAUGAGCCUUAGCUUCUGCUUCCUCAUCUGUGAAAUGGGGUUAAUGAUGAGAAAGACAGGAUCUUGUUCUGUCACCCAAGCUGGAGUACAGUGGCAUGAUCAUAGCUCACUGUAACCUUGAACUCCUGGACUCAAGCGAUCCACCUGCCUUAGCCUCCUGAGGAGCUGGGACUACAGGUGUGUGCCACCACACCUAGCUAAUUUCUUUCUUUCCGUCUUUUUUGGAAAAAACAGGGUCUCGCUAUGUUGCAUAGGCUGGUUUUGAACUCCUGGCUUCAAGCAAUCCUCUCAUCUCAGCUUCCCGAAGUGCUGGGUUUACAGGCAUCUGAGCCACCCCACUCCAGUUAUAUGUAAACUUUCAAGUUUCUAUUUAGUUUGCUUGGCAGGAUAAGGGAGAUCCUCCCCACCCCCACUCCAUCUAGGGAGAGCUUUUAGGAUAAAAAAAACUCUGUGGUAGGAAGUAAACAAACAUUCUCAACUGACAGACUUUUGAACUGAAAAGGGCCAGGAAGACAACAGAAACUCCUUUACCACAAUAAUAUAAUAGGGUGAAGUGAAGAACAUAUUAAUAUGCUGGGAAAAAAAAAACAACAACCCAGGCAUGGGGCUAGAGUACAUGCCUGUCAUCCCAGCUACUCAGGAGGCUGAGGCAGGAGAAUCACUUGAGCCCAGGAGUUGGAGGCCGAUCUGGGCAACAUAGUGAUAUUUCAGCUCCAAAAAUUUAAAAAGCCUGAAAAAUACUUUGCUCCUGUGUUACUGACCCCCAUUGUCUUUGAAAGAUGAGCAAUACUGAUUAUGGGGAAAUAUUUGUCCUUAGGUAUUUCAGGAGGAAAUUGGCCUCAGCCAUCAGCCCUCACUGCCCAAGGGGGAAAAGCAUUUCAAGAAGUUCCACUACAGGGGUAGCCACAUUCCUCCCACUUUAGAGUCAGCAGAAGGAUAAGCCAAGGGAAUCUGCCUUUAACACUCAGCAGAAGCCCAAGGCAUUCAUCUUUGCACUUAAUAAGAAGAGACAGCAGUAACUGGGACCACUUUCUCUUUUUGAGAAUGGGACAGAUUUCUGAGGCAAAGGGAUGGGAUCAUUAGAAAAGGAAUCUCAGAGGGAAGAUCGAAGAGGAGGACAGCAGAAACCUGAGGAGACAGAGAGCAAGGUAACAGCCAUUUGGGAUAUCUUGUAAAGGUCUAAAUUGUGAGUCCUUGUCCCAUCUGCUCACCUCCUUUCCUCAUAUGGUAGUAGGGAGCAGGUUACUCAGAGAGGGUUAUAACUGUUGGUCCUCCUCUUCCGAAUGAUUUUGCAAUGCUUAUCUACAUUUUUUUGGAAAAGAUUAGUGUCCAGAGGGUGUUUGAGCUUGCGGAAAUGGAUGCAUAUGUGUUUGCGAAACAAAUAUCCUGAUCACUUGGUGGUCCCUAGCAGAGAUGGGUCCGAGAGGGUUACAGGCCAGACUCCCCCCCAUAACUAAGAUAAGGAGAAGUUUACUGGUGUUGGGGCUCAAAACACAGUGCCCUAAAGUGUGGUGCUUUGGCAUGCUGAGUACUUUGAACUGAAGGAGAUUGCAAGGGCCUCAGAAGCAACAUAUUUCCGACCUUCUCCCACCCUCCUAUCUCCAGACUCUCUUUCUCCCCUGAAGCAACUCAUAAAACCAGAAUAAGUCUUCCUCAAGAUGGGUCAUAGAAAUUCUAACUCCUCUCCCCUGAAGCAGGCCAUAAAACCUAGAAAUGUCACUCUCUGACAUUCUCCCCUCUUCCCUGAAGACCUUCAUGUGACAAGUGUCUUGUGCUAUACCCAGAGCUACAUAGGGGGCCAAGAAGAAGCAGAACAGACAGGCCUUGCUGCAUUCCCCUCAGUUGAUUACCAUUAUUGCAGCAUACCCUUGUUGUCCAAUCUCAUUUCUACGUGACUGUCCAUUUGUCAGCAAACCUAAGCAUAAGAAUACCCAGCUUUUCCUGGGUCUUUGGUUCUUCAUUUCUGAAGUCUCCCAUGUCAUUUAAAACUUUGUUAAAUAAAUUUGUCAUGCUUUUCUCUUGCUAACUUGUCUUUUGUUAUAGAAGUGUCUGCCAUGACCAUUGUGAUGAGUGAUGAAGGAGUAUCGUACCUGUUUGUCCCUCCACAGGCUAGCAGAUGACUCGCUAAUCAUAGGAGACAAGCUAUCUCCUUUGCCUUGACUAAACCUUGAAAACUAGCAAAACUCGUCCACAUAGCAGAAUAGGAAGGCAUUCCUGACACACCUGGGUCACAUGAGAUUUAACUGUUUUUAUUACAAGGCCUUUUGUGAGGUCUUGCAAGCAGUGGGGAAAUUACCAACUGGACUACUAUUUCUUUCACAAAUGCUAAUUAAAUGCCUUUAGGUGGCAGACUCUUUUCUUUUUUUUUUUCUUCUUGAGACAGAGUCUCACUCUGUCGCCCAGGCUGUGGUACAGUGGCAAGAUCUCUGCUCACUGCAAACUCUGCCUCCCGGGUUCAAGUGAUUCUCCUGCCUCAGCCUCCUGAGUAGCUGGGAUUACAGGCAGGUGCCACCAUGCCCGGCUAAUUUUUGUAUUUUUGGUAGAGACGGGGUUUCACCACACUGGUCAGGCUGGUAGGUGGCAGACUCUAUGUCAAGUUCUACGCAAAUUAAUUGUUUUUGGUCUCUGACCUUAAAGAUCUCAUAAUCUACUGAGGAAGACAACCAUGAAGAGAUAAUUCAAUUUAAUUCAAUUGGAUUGAAGAAAAGACUGAGAAACAAAGACUGGUCAACAUAGUGAGACCCCGUCUCUACAAAAACUAAAAAAAAAAAAUGAGCCAGGCACAACAGUAUGCACCUGUAGCCCCAGCUAUUUGGUAAGCUGAGGCAGGAGGAUUGCUUGAGCCCAGGAGUUUGAGACCAGCCUCAGCAACAUAGUGAGACCCUGUCUCUACAAAAAAUUUAGCCAGCUAUGGUGGCAUGCAUCUGUAGUCCCAGCUACUCAGGAGACUGAGGCAGGAGGAUUGCUUGGGCCCAGGAGGUUGAGGCUGCAAUCAGCAUGAUCAGGCCACUGUACUCCAGCCUGGGUGACAGAGUGAGACCUGUCUAAAGAAAAAAAAAAAAAAGACAGAAAUGAGAUGAAUUAGUCCACCUAAGAGAUGAUAGAGAUCUGAACUGAUGCAGUGGCAGGAAAGAUUCAAUGGGAGAGGGAGGCUGAGAGAUAUUUCUGAAGUAGAUGCAAAUGGAUUUCAUAGGUAAUUGGAUACUGCAGAAGGGGGGGGUGCAGUGCGGGGUAAGAAGUUCUUGGGCUCCUGUUGGGUAAUUCUGACCUCACUUAUUUAAAAUAAUAAUAAUAAACUUGAAGUUUAAACAUCGAUAUUGCCAAAGUGAAAGGAAACAGCUGAGAAGGCAGUCUGACUUGCUUUUGUUGUCUACUGCUCCACAUGAUCAUGUUUGAUUCAACUGACAGUUAAAGGAUUUUGAACCUGGGCCCUUCUUGUGGGUUCCAAGGCAAGCCACAGCAUGGCACUUACAUCCGAGGGUGUCAAAGCUGUCCCUGGAUGUCACACCCUAGGCUAUCACAACCAAAGAGAAGACUCAGCACAGUUAGGGUGAGGCAAGGGUCAGGGAGAGACUGCAGCUGUGACACCAGGGCUUUGAGAAUUCUGUGUCAUGAAUGAGGGUGUUGUUUUGCCUUUUUGGAUGAGUACAUGUGUGUUUUGGACAGUUUGUAGAUUCUGGCAAUUCUAGAAAGGGUGGGACAGGGGACUUACCUCAGAAAAGGGAAGAGAACAAAGAGUAGGCAGAAUAACUUGUCCAACACUAACAGCAAAUACACCAUUUUCCUCCUGCAAAAAUGAAACAGUCAAGAUGAGGAAGACCUGAUCAGUAGCACAGUGAAGCGAUUGAAGAGUAUGGGCUCCAGAGUGAGAUUAGCUGAAUUCAUCCUUAGCCUUGAGAUCCCGCACUGAUUACCCAAGCUGUCUGAACUCUAACAAGAGCCUGGGACAUAGUAAGUGGUUGGUAAAUAUUAGCUUAUACUAUUCUAAGUAAUUUUGGGCAGGAAAGAGAAAUAAGACAAUUUUUCUAACCCUGAACGAGAAGCUGGGAAAAAAAAAUAGCUUUCAAAACAACACUGGAAUAAAAUUCCAAAAGCAUAAGCAACUAAAGAAAAAAAAUAGCUAAAUUGGAUAUCUUCAAAAUUAAAAUCUUUGUGCUUCAAAGGAUAUCAUUAAGAAAGUGAAAAGACAACCCACAAAAUGAGAGAAAAAUUGUGCAAAUCAUUAUAUCUAACAAGAGGCUUGUAUCUAAAACAUAUAAAGAACUCUGGCCCGGCACAGUGGCUCACACCGGUAAUCCCGGCACUUUGGGAGGCUGAGGCAGGGGGAUUGCUUGAGCCCAGGACUUUGAGAACAGCCUGUAUGUGUAUACUCUAUCCUGUGAUUGUAUUGUAUUGUAUUGUAUUCACGUGGUGUGACCCCAUCUCUAUAAAAAUUACAAAAAUUAGCCAGGCAUGGUAAUGUGCACCAGUAAUUCCAGCUACUCAGGAAGAUGAGGUGGGAGGAUUUAUUGAGCCUGGGAGGUCAAGGCUGCAGCAUUCCAGCUUGAGUAACAGAGAGAGACCCUGUCCCAAAACAACAACAAUAAAAAACAAAACAAAACAAAAAAACAGAAAAGAAAAAAAAGAACUCUUAUGAUUCAUACACAUAACCCAAUUUUAAAGUAGGCAAAGGACCUGAACAAACAUUUCUCCAAAGAAGAUAUAUAAAUGACCAAUAAACACAUGAAAAGAUGCUCAACAUCUUUAGUCACCACAGAAAUGCAAAUCAAAAUCUUCACACACACUAGGAUAACUAUGAUCAAAGCAACAAAUAAUAAAAGGUGUUGGUGCCGGGCGCGAUGGCUCAUGCCUGUAAUCUCAGCACUUUGGGAGGCCGAGGUGGGUGGAUCACGAGGUCAAGAGAUCGAGACCAGCCUGGCCAACAUGGUGAAACCCCAUCUCUACUGAAAAUACAAAAAUUAGCUGGGUGUGGUGGCACGCGCCUGUAAUCCCAGCUACUCAGGAAGCUGAGACAGGAGAAUUGCUUGAACCCGGGAGGCGGAGGUUGCAGUGAGCCGAGAUCACACCACUGCACUCCAGCCUGGCGACAGAGUGAGAUUCUGUCUUAAAAAAAAAAAAAAAGUGUUGGUAAGGAUGUGGAGAAGAAAUUGAUAAAUUGGAACCUUUACACUCUGCUGAUAGGAAUGUAAAAUGGUGCAGCCAAAAACAGUCUGGCAGUUCCUGAAAGGUUUAAAAUAAAUUUACCAUAUGACCCAGAAAUUCCACUUCUAUGUAUAUACCUAAGAGAAAGGAAAGCAUAUGUUCACACAAACAUUGUACAUGAAUUUCAUAGCUGCAUUAUACAUAACAGCCAAAAAGAAGAAACAACCCAAAUGUUCAUCGACUGAUGAACAGAUCAACAAAUUGUGGGAUAGCCAUACAGUGAAAUAUCAUUUGGCGGUAAAAAUAAAUGAAGCACUGAUAUGUGCUGCAACGUGGGUGAACCUCAAACACUUUAUACUUAGUGAAAGAAGCUGAUAGAGACAGGAAAAAACAAAGUGUUUUUCCUACUUUCACACACCACUCGACAGGAACUUCUGACACCAGAUAUGUAGGGGGGUUCUCCACACACCACACAGUUCUUUUGCAGAUACUAACUGGGUGUCCUACAAUUUAACUCCACCCUGACACUACUUACCUGGACUUAGCAUCAGAUCCCACAGGUCGAGGGCUCAUUCCCACAAGACUGCCCCCCACUUCUGAUACCAAUUGCAAUUUCUGACUGCAAUUGGCUAUAAAUUAGGGUUCCCAUGAUCUCCUUCUUGGGUUUAAUUUGCUAGACUUGUUCACAGAACUCAGGGAAACACCUGAAACAUUUACCCAUUUAUUAAAAGGAUAUUACAAAAGAUACAGAUUGACAGAAAGAUGGAAGAGAUACAUAGGGCAAGGUAUGGGGGAGGGAAUGCAGAUCUUCCAUACCCUCUCUGGAUGUGCCACCCCCCCAGGUACCUCCACAUGUUCAGCAAUCCAGUUUUUGGGGACUUUUAUGGAGGCCUUAUUAUGUAGGCAUGAUCGAUUACAUCACUGGCCAUUUGUGAUCAACUUAACCUUCAGCCCCUCUCCCUUCCUGAGAGGUUGGGGGUUUGAAAGCUCACACCUUCUAAUGAUAUGGUUGGGUUGGUUUCCUUGGCAACUAGCCCCACUCACCCCGACAAUCCUGAGGCUAUCUAGGAGAUUCCAACCACUAGUCAUCUCAUUAGCAUACAAAAGCUACUCUCUUCUCUCCAGAGACUCCCAGGGUUUCAGGAGCUGUAGUGCCAGGAACCAAGGACAGAGACCAAAUAUAUGUUUCUUACUGUAUUACAAUAUUAUAGAAACCAAACACAAAAGACCACCUUUUGUGUAAUUAUAUGAAAUGUCCAGAGUAGACAAAUAUAUAGAGACAGAAAGUAGACUAGUGGCUGCCAGGGACUGGCGGCAUUGAAGAGGAAUGAGGAGCAAAUAAGAAUGAGUAUGGAGUUUCUUUGCAGAGUAAUGAAAAUAUUAUAAAAUAUAAUAAUGAGUAUGGAGUCUCUUAGGGUAAUGAAAAUAUUCUAAAAUUGAUUGUUGCAAUGGUUGCAUAACUGUGAAUACACUAAAAUCUAUUGAUUUGUACAUUGUAAAUGGGUAAACUUUAUUUUAAUACAAUUACAGGAUAGAGUAUACAAAUACAGUGAUUUGUACACUGUAAUGGGUGAACUAUAUCUCAAUACCUCAAUAAAGCUAGUUUUCUUUUUUUUUUUUUUGCACUAGAAGAAGGAGACAUCAGUAUGUUAAGAAUGUAGAUAGCUCUUGUUAUUUUGAGAUACGUCCCAUCAAUACCUAAUUUAUUGAGAGUUUUUAGCAUGAAGGUUUGUUGAAUUUUGUCAAAGGCCUUUUCUGGAUCUAUUGAGAUAAUCAUGUCGUUUUUGUCUUUGGUUCUGUUUAUAUGCUGGAUUACAUUUAUUGACUUACGUAUAUUGAACCAGCCUUGCGUCCCAGGGAUGAAGCCCACUUGAUCAUGGUGGAUAAGCUUUUUGAUGUGCUGCUGGCAUUACCAUUCAGGACAUAGGCAUGGGCAAGGACUUCAUGUCUAAAACACCAAAAGCAAUGGCAACAAAAGCCAAAACUGACAAAUGGGAUCUGAUUAAACUAAAGAGCUUCUGCACAGCAAAAGAAACUACCAUCAGAGUGAACAGGCAACCUACAAAAUGGGAGAAAAUUUUCGCAACCUACUCAUCUGACAAAGGGCUAAUAUCCAGAAUCUACAAUGAACUCAAACAAAUUUACAAGAAAAAAAACAAACAACCCCAUCAAAAAGUGGGCGAAGGACAUGAACAGACACUUCUCAAAAGAAGACAUUUAUGCAGCCAAAAAACACAUGAAAAGAUGCUCACCAUCACUGGCCAUCAGAGAAAUGCAAAUCAAAACCACAAUGAGAUACCAUCUCACACCAGUUAGAAUGGCAAUC
This is an RNA transcript of Pan troglodytes (chimpanzee), 9070 nucleotides long. It is a transcript of the gene named leucine rich repeat containing 8 VRAC subunit D, with no coding region annotated. The transcript is spliced from 5 exons. The record is from RefSeq and is a predicted model, not a curated record. NCBI's taxonomy places the organism in Eukaryota, Metazoa, Chordata, Mammalia, Primates, Hominidae.